AAUCAACGCUGGCGGCGUGCCUAACACAUGCAAGUCGAACGCGAAAGCCCCGCAAGGGGCAAGUAGAGUGGCAAACGGGUGAGUAACACGUGGGUGACCUGCCUUCGAGCGGGGGAUAACGUCCCGAAAGGGACGCUAAUACCGCAUAACAUCCUGCCUUUGAAGAGGUGGAGAUCAAAGACUGGGGAUCGCAAGACCCGGCACUUGAAGAGGGGCCCGCGUCUGAUUAGCUAGNGGUGGGGUAAUGGCCUACCAAGGCAACGAUCAGUAUCCGGCCUGAGAGGGCGGACGGACACACUGGGACUGAGACACGGCCCAGACUCCUACGGGAGGCGGCAGUGGGGAAUUGUUCGCAAUGGGCGCAAGCCUGACGACGCAACGCCGCGUGGAGGAUGAAGAUUUUCGGAUCGUAAACUCCUGUCGAAUGGGACGAACAGAUUACGGGUUAACAGCCUGUAGUCCUGACGGU
RNAcentral lists this ribosomal RNA (469 nucleotides) under uncultured bacterium. RNAcentral's name for it is "bacterial SSU rRNA". It matches the Rfam family "Bacterial small subunit ribosomal RNA", at positions 32 to 476 of the family's 1533-position model. The record is from RNAcentral.